RNAcentral lists this non-coding RNA (26 nucleotides) under Rattus norvegicus (Norway rat). Lineage: Eukaryota; Metazoa; Chordata; Mammalia; Rodentia; Muridae. The record is from RNAcentral.
AUAUGGACGUGGUUUAAGUUGCUAAC